GAUGAACGCUGGCGGCGUGCCUAAUACAUGCAAGUCGAGCGAACAGAUAAGGAGCUUGCUCCUUUGACGUUAGCGGCGGACGGGUGAGUAACACGUGGGUAACCUACCUAUAAGACUGGGAUAACUUCGGGAAACCGGAGCUAAUACCGGAUAACAUUUGGAACCGCAUGGUUCUAAAGUGAAAGAUGGUUUUGCUAUCACUUAUAGAUGGACCCGCGCCGUAUUAGCUAGUUGGUAAGGUAACGGCUUACCAAGGCAACGAUACGUAGCCGACCUGAGAGGGUGAUCGGCCACAAUGGAACUGAGACACGGUCCAGACUCCUACGGGAGGCAGCAGUAGGGAAUCUUCCGCAAUGGGCGAAAGCCUGACGGAGCAACGCCGCGUGAGUGAUGAAGGGUUUCGGCUCGUAAAACUCUGUUAUUAGGGAAGAACAAACGUGUAAGUAACUGUGCACGUCUUGACGGUACCUAAUCAGAAAGCCACGGCUAACUACGUG
This 497-nucleotide ribosomal RNA is filed under the name uncultured bacterium. RNAcentral describes it as "partial 16S ribosomal RNA". It matches the Rfam family "Bacterial small subunit ribosomal RNA", at positions 28 to 507 of the family's 1533-position model. The record is from RNAcentral.